CCUACGGGAGGCAGCAGUGAGGAAUAUUGGUCAAUGGACGAGAGUCUGAACCAGCCAAGUAGCGUGAAUGAUGACUGCCCUAUGGGUUGUAAACUUCUUUUAUAUGGGAAUAAAUUGGUCCAAGUGUGGGUUCUUGUAUUUACCAUACGAAUUCGGAUCGGCUAACUCCGGGCCAGCAGCCGCGGUAAUACGGAGGAUACGAGCGUUAUCCGGAUUUGUUGGGUUUAAAGGGAGCGUAGGUGGAUUGUUAAGUCAGUUGUGAAAGUUUGCGGCUCAACCGUAAAAUUGCAGUUGAAACUGGCAGUCUUGAGUACAGAAGAGGUAGGUGGAAUUCGAGGUGUAGCGGUGAAAUGCUUAGAUAUCACGAAGAACUCCGAUUGCGAAGGCAGCUCACUGGACUGCAACUGACACUGAGGCUCGAAAGUGUGGGUAUCAAACAGGAUUAGAUACCCCAGUAGUC
Molecule: ribosomal RNA, 460 nt
Filed under: uncultured bacterium
Lineage: Bacteria
Description: partial 16S ribosomal RNA
Rfam family: Bacterial small subunit ribosomal RNA
Source: RNAcentral